RNAcentral lists this transfer RNA (77 nucleotides) under Spirochaetales bacterium. Its description in RNAcentral is "tRNA-Val". It matches the Rfam family "tRNA". From Rfam's summary of the family: Transfer RNA (tRNA) molecules are approximately 80 nucleotides in length. Their secondary structure includes four short double-helical elements and three loops (D, anti-codon, and T loops). The record is from RNAcentral. Lineage: Bacteria; Pseudomonadati; Spirochaetota; Spirochaetia; Spirochaetales.
GGGCGGCUAGCUCAGUUGGUUAGAGUACGUGCUUGACAUGCACGGGGUCACUGGUUCAAAUCCAGUGUCGCCCAUCA